UAUUAUGGUGAGUUAUCCAGUGGGACUGGGAGUGGGUGUCUAAUGUCUAGAGAUAGUCCCUGUUUUAUACACGUGAGGCUCGUAGGACCUGAGUGAUCGCCACAGCUCAAAACAACAAGGCCAAGAUUUUCCAUCCUUUACACUCGUUCAUGUUUAUUAAUCCAUGGUAGUGAAGAUUUUACAGUAAUGGUACUGCAGCAAAUAUCUUUAUUGUCUUCACUGUCAAGAUGUCCACUACUGGCAAGGAAAUAUCUAACUUCACAGAUCUUCUGUACCCGUUGGCGUCAGACUGCUGCCACUGUCCCUUAUGCACGAACUGUUCUAAGAAAUGAACAGAAAAAAAAUUCAUGUCACAAGUUCUUACAAAGAAGAAAUUUCUUUUCAUUUUUUAAGAAAAAUAAAUCUCCUGAAAAAUUCAGAGAGGAUGAUAACAUAUUGUCUCAUUAUGAACUAGUGUACAGUGCAGUCUCCAUUUCUUAUGUUAAGUUAGCCUUCGGAGGUGUGCAAACCGUAGCAGGGACUGUAUGUCUAACUUUGGGGGCUAUAGCUUGUGGAUUCCCUCUUGUAAACAAUGUAGUCCUUACAGAAGACCCAUUACAGGUUGGUACAUUCAUUACUCUCAAUUCAAUGCUGUGUUUAGGAAUUUAUAAAUUUUGCACAGUGUAUCCCCUCCGGAUUUAUUACAGUGAAGUAGAGGAUAACUUUAUACUGGUUUUUGUGGGUACACAUCCCUUAGCUGUUCGACAUUUGAAAGUUCCUCCUGGAGGUGUGAAACCAAAACCCCCUGGAAAAAUUAUAGCAGCUAUACUACCUUGGUCUGAGCUCUUGUACUCUACACCCACCCAGACUGUAUACUUGAAUGACCAUCACUUCAGGUAUCCUGUCUACUACAACAAGUUGUUGGGUUAUGUGUGAGAAUCCCAGUAACUGAUGUGCCAUGUAAUAGUUUUGUAAAAGUAGCUAGACUAUAUAUUUGUAUGAGGAAACUUUGUGAUAGUUGGGGUGUCCUUUAUUGUAGAUACAUCAAUAUUUACAAUAUCAUUUAUGCACUUUCAACUAAACCAAUUUAGAACCAGUACACUUUUAGCAAGAGCAACUCAUUAGGAACUUUGUUACAAAAUGCUAAACCAAGGAAAACUUAAAAAUCUUUUCAAACACAAAAAGGCUGUAAUCCUGCCAGUACAUGAAUAUCAAAUUAGCAAACACCAUAAAACUUAUGAAAUAUUUGAAAACAUGUUAAUUUUAUUACAUUUUCCCUGGCAAGCCUAUGAACCUGUGAACUAGGUGAUGUCUUCAUGUAGUAAACUUAAUCACGUUAAUAUCUAGUUGAGCCUGUUUAAGCCUAAUUGUUGUUUCAAUUUUGGUAUUAAAACCAUUUAAAACUU
Scylla paramamosain (green mud crab) is the source of this 1385-nucleotide long non-coding RNA. RefSeq lists it as uncharacterized. NCBI's taxonomy places the organism in Eukaryota, Metazoa, Arthropoda, Malacostraca, Decapoda, Portunidae. The transcript is spliced from 2 exons. The record is from RefSeq and is a predicted model, not a curated record.